ACGCUCGACACCUACGGGAGGCAGCAGUGGGGAAUAUUGCACAAUGGGGGAAACCCUGAUGCAGCAACGCCGCGUGAAGGAAGACGGUUUUCGGAUUGUAAACUUCUGUUCUUAGUGAAGAUAGUGACGGUAGCUAAGGAGCAAGCCACGGCUAACUACGUGCCAGAAGCCGCGGUAAUCUGAGGCGGGCUGGCAAGGC
This 199-nucleotide ribosomal RNA is filed under the name uncultured bacterium. RNAcentral describes it as "partial 16S ribosomal RNA". It matches the Rfam family "Bacterial small subunit ribosomal RNA", at positions 328 to 539 of the family's 1533-position model. The record is from RNAcentral.